Molecule: ribosomal RNA, 504 nt
Filed under: uncultured bacterium
Lineage: Bacteria
Description: partial 16S ribosomal RNA
Rfam family: Bacterial small subunit ribosomal RNA
Source: RNAcentral
AUUGAACGCUGGCGGCAGGCCUAACACAUGCAAGUCGAACGGUAGCACAGAGAGCUUGCGCUCGGGUGACGAGUGGCGGACGGGUGAGUAACGUCUGGGAAACUGCCCGAUGGAGGGGGAUAACUACUGGAAACGGUAGCUAAUACCGCAUAACGUCGCAAGCACAAAGUGGGGGACCGUCGGGCCUCACACCAUCGGAUGUGCCCAGAUGGGAUUAGCUAGUAGGUGGGGUAAUGGCUCACCUAGGCGACGAUCCCUAGCUGGUCUGAGAGGAUGACCAGCCACACUGGAACUGAGACACGGUCCAGACUCCUACGGGAGGCAGCAGUGGGGAAUAUUGCACAAUGGGCGCAAGCCUGAUGCAGCCAUGCCGCGUGUAUGAAGAAGGCCUUCGGGUUGUAAAGUACUUUCAGCGGGGAGGAAGGCGGUGAAGUUAAUAACUUCACCGAUUGACGUUACCCGCAGAAGAAGCACCGGCUAACUCCGUGCCAGCAGCCGCAGUAA